RNAcentral lists this ribosomal RNA (560 nucleotides) under Vibrionaceae bacterium fav2-1-10-13. RNAcentral's name for it is "bacterial SSU rRNA". It matches the Rfam family "Bacterial small subunit ribosomal RNA", at positions 34 to 573 of the family's 1533-position model. The record is from RNAcentral. Lineage: Bacteria; Pseudomonadati; Pseudomonadota; Gammaproteobacteria; Vibrionales; Vibrionaceae.
CGCUGGCGGCAGGCCUAACACAUGCAAGUCGAGCGGAAACGAGUUAUCUGAACCUUCGGGGAACGAUAACGGCGUCGAGCGGCGGACGGGUGAGUAAUGCCUGGGAAAUUGCCCUGAUGUGGGGGAUAACCAUUGGAAACGAUGGCUAAUACCGCAUAAUAGCUUCGGCUCAAAGAGGGGGACCUUCGGGCCUCUCGCGUCAGGAUAUGCCCAGGUGGGAUUAGCUAGUUGGUGAGGUAAUGGCUCACCAAGGCGACGAUCCCUAGCUGGUCUGAGAGGAUGAUCAGCCACACUGGAACUGAGACACGGUCCAGACUCCUACGGGAGGCAGCAGUGGGGAAUAUUGCACAAUGGGCGCAAGCCUGAUGCAGCCAUGCCGCGUGUAUGAAGAAGGCCUUCGGGUUGUAAAGUACUUUCAGCAGUGAGGAAGGUGGUUGUGUUAAUAGCACUAUCAUUUGACGUUAGCUGCAGAAGAAGCACCGGCUAACUCCGUGCCAGCAGCCGCGGUAAUACGGAGGGUGCGAGCGUUAAUCGGAAUUACUGGGCGUAAAGCGCAUGCA